GACGAACGCUGGCGGCGUGCCUAAUACAUGCAAGUCGAACGCACAGUUUAUACCGUAGCUUGCUACACCAUAGACUGUGAGUUGCGAACGGGUGAGUAACGCGUAGGUAACCUGCCUGGUAGCGGGGGAUAACUAUUGGAAACGAUAGCUAAUACCGCAUAAUAUUGAUUAUUGCAUGAUAAUUGAUUGAAAGAUGCUAUUGCAUCACUACCAGAUGGACCUGCGUUGUAUUAGCUAGUAGGUGAGGUAACGGCUCACCUAGGCGACGAUACAUAGCCGACCUGAGAGGGUGAGCGGCCACACUGGGACUGAGACACGGCCCAGACUCCUACGGGAGGCAGCAGUAGGGAAUCUUCGGCAAUGGACGAAAGUCUGACCGAGCAACGCCGCGUGAGUGAAGAAGGUUUUCGGAUCGUAAAGCUCGGUUGUAAGAGAAGAACGGGUGUGAGAGUGGAAAGUUCACACUGUGGCGGUAUCUUACCAGAAAGGGACGGCUAACUACGUG
RNAcentral lists this ribosomal RNA (505 nucleotides) under uncultured bacterium. Its description in RNAcentral is "partial 16S ribosomal RNA". It matches the Rfam family "Bacterial small subunit ribosomal RNA", at positions 28 to 507 of the family's 1533-position model. The record is from RNAcentral.